This 279-nucleotide ribosomal RNA is filed under the name uncultured bacterium. RNAcentral's name for it is "partial 16S ribosomal RNA". It matches the Rfam family "Bacterial small subunit ribosomal RNA", at positions 506 to 784 of the family's 1533-position model. The record is from RNAcentral.
UGCCAGCCGCCGCGGUAAUACGUAGAGUGCAAGCGUUGUCCGGAAUUAUUGGGCGUAAAGGGUACGCAGGCGGAUAAUCAAGUCAAGCGUGAAAGGUGUCGGCUUAACCGACAGACUGCGUUUGAAACUGGUUAUCUUGAGUGUAACAGAGGAGAGUGGAAUUCCUAGUGUAGUGGUGAAAUACGUAGAUAUUAGGAAGAACACCAGUGGCGAAGGCGACUCUCUGGGUUAACACUGACGCUGAGGUACGAGAGCUGGGGGAGCGAACGGGAUUAGAUA